GACGAACGCUGGCGGCGUGCCUAAUACAUGCAAGUCGAGCGGACCGAACAGGAGCUUGCUCUUGUUCGGUUAGCGGCGGACGGGUGAGUAACACGUGGGUAACCUGCCCGUAAGACCGGGAUAACUCCGGGAAACCGGAGCUAAUACCGGAUAACACCGAAGACCGCAUGGUCUUUGGUUGAAAGGCGGCUUCGGCUGCCACUUACGGAUGGGCCCGCGGCGCAUUAGCUAGUUGGUGAGGUAACGGCUCACCAAGGCGACGAUGCGUAGCCGGCCUGAGAGGGUGACCGGCCACACUGGGACUGGGACACGGCCCAGACUCCUACGGGAGGCAGCAGUAGGGAAUCUUCCGCAAUGGACGAAAGUCUGACGGAGCGACGCCGCGUGAGCGAAGAAGGUCUUCGGAUCGUAAAGCUCUGUUGUUAGGGAAGAAGAAGCGUCGUUCGAACAGGGCGGCGCGGUGACGGUACCUAACGAGAAAGCCCCGGCUAACUACGUG
This 499-nucleotide ribosomal RNA is filed under the name uncultured bacterium. RNAcentral's name for it is "partial 16S ribosomal RNA". It matches the Rfam family "Bacterial small subunit ribosomal RNA", at positions 28 to 507 of the family's 1533-position model. The record is from RNAcentral.